Molecule: long non-coding RNA, 3931 nt
Filed under: Sus scrofa (pig)
Lineage: Eukaryota; Metazoa; Chordata; Mammalia; Artiodactyla; Suidae
Description: lncRNA (ENSSSCG00000055088.1)
Source: RNAcentral
UCCCAGGCUAGAGGUUGAAUCGGAGCUGCACCUGCCAGCCUGCACCACAGCCACAGCAACGCCAGAUCUGAGCCACGUCUGUGACUUACACCUUCACCCCCUGAGUGAGGCCAGGGACGGAACCCACCUCCUCAUGGAUACCAGUGGGAUUUGUCACCACUGAGGCACAGCAGAACUCCUAACUUCCCUUUCCAAUGGGACCGUUUUCCGUGAGUCCCAGUGCCGUGGUCUGGGCUCGGGUUAUUCAUCUCCCUGAAGACGUGAGCAGAUACAAAUAACCCGACACCAACCCAUACUCACCUUUGUCCUCGAACCUCUCCCAGGGCUGCUGGGCACAUGCUUGCCCUGAUGGGGGACCCUUCCCAGCCUCCUUUGCAGCAGGGGCCGUGCCGUGUGGCCAAGGUGAGCCAUGCAAGGGAAUGCAUGGUGCCUCUUGUCUUUUUUCACCCUCUUGAAGGAUCGCAGGUUGCCGGGAUUGCAUCUGGUUCCUUUUGGGGGCCCUCGGGGUCACUGUUCAGAACUGCCUCAUGGCCACUCUUGAAAACUGAGAGUGGAUUUGCAAUGCUGUGUUCCUUUCUGCUGGACCACGACGUGACUCGGUUAUCCACACAGACACAUUCUUUUUCGGAUGCUUUUCCACAAUGGUUUAUCACAGGAUGCUGAAUAGAGCUGCCCAUGCUCCAUAGCGGGACUCUGCGGUUUAUCCCGCCUCUAUAUGCCAGUUGGCACCUGCGAAUCUGCCAACAUUUGACCAUUUGUGGUUGUGAUUGAGGCUGGAGGGCAAAUUCUGUUCCUGUCGCUCCAUCUUGACCGGAAGCGGAGGUCCUUACCCCGUCUUCCCCGUGAUGUUCCCAAUUUGAAUUUGAGGACUGAAUAACCGCAGCCUGGGAUGUGUUUAGCCAGGAACCCCUCAGGCCUUGGGAGCAGAAGACGCUUGGUGACCCUCCAGGGAGUCUGGGGGAAUGUCUCAAAUUCUCCUUUGAUGUUGCUGGUUUCAUACGACCGCUAGUCCCAUCCAAGCGGGUUUGGUUUCUGGCUAAAAAGGUUCUGUGCUAUUCACACUUGGUGCCUUGUCUAAUCGCCACGUGUGUUUUCCUUUGAGUGUGCAUCCUUGAAACAUUUAUAGAUUUUUGUUUGUUUGUGAACUAAAGACAUGAGAUAUUCCAAAAAGAGACAUUAACUCACAUGGAAUAUCAAUUACAUAUUGCUGGGUGAUGAUGGGGACAGAUGUGGUACAGAGGCCCGGGCGAGUGACCAACAUAGGAACAUCUUUGGACGUUUGAGAGGAAUGAGAAGCCAUCACUGGGGCUGCUGGGUGUGCAAGACAAGGAUGCAGGCGUUCCCUGGUGGCUCAGCAUUAAGGAUCCAGCAUUGUCACUGCUGUGGCUUGGAUUCAAACCCUGGCCUGGGAACUUCACCUGCUGUGGGUGUGGCCAGAGGGGAAAAAAAAAAGAAGGAAAGAAAAAGACAAUGAUGCAACAUCUAUUUGGAACAUUUGUCACAAUGACCAUCAUCAAAAAGACGACCCAUAACACACGCUGGAGAUGGAGUGGAGAGAAAGCAGCCUUGUCCACGGUAGGUGGGAAUUCAAAGUGGUGUCCUAUGGAAAACAGGAUGGAGGGUCCUUAAAAAACUAAACACAGAUCUAUUCUAUGAUCCAGAAUCCCACUCCUGGGCAUAUAUCUGGACAAAACCAAAAUUUGAAACGAUCCACGCACCUCAAUGUUCAUUGCAGCACUAUUCACAACAGCCAAGACAAGGAAACAACCUAAAUGUCCAUCAGCAGAUGAACGGAUAGCGAACAUGCAGUAUAUACACAGUGGAAUAUUACGCAGCCAUGAAAACAUAUGGAAUCAUGCCAUUUACAGCAACACGGAAGGACCGAGAACUUAUCAUACUAAGUGAAAUGAGUCCAAAAGAGAAAAACAAAUACUGUAAGCUAUCACUUAGCAGUGGAAUCUAAAAUAUGACACAAAGGAACCUAACUACAGGACAGAAACAGACUCACAGACUUUGAAGACAAACUUAUGGUCACCAAAGGGGACCGACCAGCGGGGGCAUGGAUGGACUGGGGCUGUGGGAUUGGCACGUGCACACAAGGUCUGUGGAAUGACGGGCCAACGGGCACCUGCUGUCCAGCACAGCGACCUCUACCCAGUAUGCUGUGAUCAUCUACGUGGGGAAUGAAUCUGAAGGAGAAUGGCUGUGUAGACGUGGACGCCUGAGUCACUCUGCUGUAUAGCAGAAAAGAUCACAGCCGUGUCCAUCCAGUCCACUUCAAUGAAACUUUUCUUUAACAACGAAAAGAAAGGCCAUCAUAUCUGUAAGAGGAAAAAACAAAAGAUAUUUUGAGAGAAGAAGACAGUACAUGAAGGACUCGCAGAGCCCACAUUCUGGCUGCUUCCCACAGACAGAUUUUUCUGAGGCUGAUGCACCCAUGCCAAUAAAUAAAAAGAAGAAGAUAUAUUUUGGCUUAUGCUUGUAUCUACUUUGCCAAUCCUAAGCCAUUCAUUAGCCCUAAUGCCUAGGUAGGCUUUUUUUCCUCCCCAUCCCAAAUUGAAGUGUUUCUAGACUCCUAAGCCUCAGCUUUGGAAGCGAUCUUCAAUCCAGACACAUCUUUCAGAGUCAAGUUUUCACCCAGCUUGAGAAAUAAGAACCCCAGGAGACGAUCAGCAAAUACUGCCAAAAUCCACGCACCCAGACCUACCCCGGACAUGCGGGUGUGGCAGGUUUGGGGAGAGCAGGGGGUCUUCACAACUAUUUUGGAAAAAAAAAAAAAGAAAAGAAAGAAAGAAAAAGAACCCUUCACAAGUCAGGUGCCCGGGUCAAGACAGUGCCUUAAAAAGAGUUAAACCUCCCACCUGACCAGGCCUCACAGCGAUGGGAAUGAGGAAAUGACACACGUUGGGAGCCACAGCCAAGCGAAAAAGAUGAGGUCCUUCUGGCCGGUCCUCAGCAGAUUGGGACCACUGAAGGCUCCUUGUAGCCAACUCUUGCAGCAGCGGGGGCGAGAUGCUGCCGCUGGCUUGCAGCCGAUGCAAAAAUCACUAUCUCCCCCGGACGGAAAUCGCACUGGCUCGUGUGUGCUUUUGCAAAACAGGAUGUGAAGACACAUGGAAAGCAGAGGGGAUGCAGCCCUGGGGAGCGCAGGGGCCUCCCGGCAUCUGCUCAGUGUGCUGUCUGGGGUGGUUCAACCCAUGCCAUCCAUUUCUACCCACGCCUGGGGGUCUGGUUGUCAGUCAUGGUGCCAGGAGCAAGUCUCACGGGGGCAGUCUGCCCCCAUCUCCCUCUGGGUCCAUCCCCUGUCCCUUUGCAAAACACCUCUGUUGUGCAGAGGUGCAAAAGACACCUCACGGGGCUUCCAUUCUUUCCAGAAGGACCCUCCUGGGGAGAUGCUAUGGACAGAUAGCCCUGCAUCUUUUUCUCGUUCUCCGUACAUCUUUUUUUUUUUUUUUGUCUUUUUGGGGCUGCACCCGCAGCACAUGCAAGUUUCCAGGCCAGGGGUCGAAUCGGAGCUGCAGGUGUCACUCUACACCACAACCACAGCAACACCAGAUCCGAGCCACGUCUGCAACCUACACCACAGCUCACAGCAAUGCCAGAUCCUUAACCCACGGAGCAAGGCCAGGGAUUGAACCCGCGUCCUCAUGGAUCCUAGUUGGUGCACAACCCACUGAGCCAUGACGGGAACUCCAUUCUCCUUACUUCUUACUCUUCUUAAAAUCCCUGGGGAGAGAUGGAGGACAUGGGUAGGAUCCAUGGCACACUGGGAAAAACCUGUUAUUCUGCCAGAGCAGAGCAGCAGAGGGAGCCGGUGGCUGGGCACGUGUGAGUGUGUGCAUGUGUCACUGUGUAUGCUGUGUGCACUUGUACCUGGGGGUGCGACACUGCAUCGAAGAGAGAACAGUGCACAGCUAUGGGUCAGGAUGGA